GCCUCGGGAAUAAGAGGGUGGCAAGACUGGUGUCAGCCGCCGCGGUAACACCAGCCCCUCGAGUGGUGGGGAUGAUUAUUUGGCCUAAAGCGUCCGUAGCCGGCCGGGUAAGUUUCCCGUUAAAUCCAGCGUCUCAAGCGUUGGACUGCGGGAAAUACUGCCCGGCUAGAGAGUGGGAGAGGUGUACGGUAUUCUGGGGGUAGGGGCGAAAUCCUUUGAUCCCCGGAGGACCACCAGUGGCGAAGGCUGUACACUAGAACACGUCUGACGGUCAGGGACGAAAGCUGGGGUAGCGAACCGGAUUAGAUACCCGGGUAGUCCCAGCUGUAAACGAUGCAUGCUAGGUGUUGGGUUGGCCACGAGCCACCCCAGUGCCGCAGGGAAGCCGUUAAGCAUGCCGCCUGGGAAGUACGAUCGCAAGAUUGAAACUUAAAGGAAUUGGCGGGGGAGCACCACCAGGCGUGAAGCCUGCGGUUUAAUUGGAGUCAACGCCGGGAACCUUACCGGAAGCGACAGCAGAGUGAAGGCCAGAUUGAAGAUCUUGCCAGACGAGCUGAGAGGAGGUGCAUGGCCGUCGCCAGUUCGUGCCGUGAGGUGUUCUCUUAAGUGAGAUAACGAACGAGACCCGUGCCACAUGUUGCCACCAGAAUCUAAAGGAUUGCUGAGCACUCUUGUGGGACCGCAGCCGAUAAGGCUGAGGAAGGGGCGGGCAACGGCAGGUCAGUAUGCCCCGAAUCUUCCGGGCCACAUGCGGGCUGCAAUGGUAUGGACAGAGGGCUGCCACCCCGAAAGGGGGAGCCAAUCCCUAAACCAUACCUCAGUUGGGAUUGAGGGCUGCAACCCGCCCUCAUGAAC
RNAcentral lists this ribosomal RNA (855 nucleotides) under uncultured crenarchaeote. Its description in RNAcentral is "bacterial SSU rRNA". It matches the Rfam family "Archaeal small subunit ribosomal RNA", at positions 426 to 1281 of the family's 1478-position model. The record is from RNAcentral. Lineage: Archaea; Thermoproteati; Thermoproteota.